Molecule: RNA transcript, 4342 nt
Organism: Mauremys mutica (yellowpond turtle)
Lineage: Eukaryota; Metazoa; Chordata; Testudines; Geoemydidae
Gene name: kinesin-like protein KIF20A
Exons: 20
Source: RefSeq, a predicted model, not a curated record
GCGCACGUCCCCUCCCCCGCGCAGGGAGCCGGGCUCCCUGGCUGCUGGUGCUUGCGGGUGUUCCGCGUCUCUGAGCCCCCAGCCGGCGGCCCCGCCGCUCUCCCGGGGCGGCUGAAGGAGAAGCUAGUAGCGCCUCACGCGCCUCUAGCCUAUGAUGAGGCAGACCCGGGCCGUGGGCCGCUCCCUCCUCUCACCUAGGCUCGGUGGCCAGCUGCUCUGCCUCUGUCACAGGCAGCUCUGGGAUAAGAGAAUGGACUAUGAGGAGGGAAGCUAUGCAUCCUCAGCAGUAUGUGAUGUGUUGGACUUCACCUGUUAUGAGGACUUAAUGGGUAAAACCUCACCCAUGGAGUUGUCAGUGAUACCUAAUGCUGAUGAACAGCAGCAGGAGGUGGGGAUAUAUCAACCUUUGAAAGUCUACUUGAGAGUCAGACCCUUCUCUAAAGCAGAGCUUGAAAGCAAUGAAUCUCAGGACUGUGUAAUUAUCGAAAAUCCAGAAACAGUAACUCUACAGGCACCCAAAGAAUCCUUUACAAUGAAAAACAGUGAAAAGGGGAUUGGACAGUCUGUUCACCAGUUCACCUUCACUAAGGUCUUUGGUCCAGAAACUACUCAAAGUGACUUUUUUGAAGGCACAAUGAAAGAGAUAGUAAAAGCUUACAUUGAUGGAGCAAAUGGACUGGUGUUUAGCUAUGGGGUUACUAAUGCAGGCAAAACAUUCACUAUUCAAGGUUCUCCAAAAGAUGGUGGUAUUUUGCCUCGUUCUCUUGAUAUGAUCUUUCACCACAUAAGAGGAAGACAAUAUCUGAAGAUGAACUUUAAACCAUACUUAAGCAAUGAUGUAAAGAAGCUAGAUGUGACACAGGUUAAACAAGAGGAAAUUAUAAAAGCUGCUGUUCUUGCUUCUCUGAAAGAAGACACAGAAGAUACUUUGAAAUCUACAAUUCAGAGUGAGUCAUUAUGUAUCUUGGAAUCUGUAUCUUCUAGCAGCUGUACUUCAGCAAGUCUGCCUUCUGACCCGCUAGUGGAGGACUCCAUUUUACUUGACGCCAAUGGGACUAAGCAUCAGAGAACACAGUCUUCAGUGUGGGUUUCCUUCUGUGAAAUUUAUAAUGAGUAUGUAUAUGACCUUAUGGAUGUAUUGGCUAUAUCAAAAUAUCAAAAACGCAAAGUUCUAAAAAUCUGUGAGGAUCAAGGGGGAAACUCUUAUAUAAAAGACUUAAAGUGGAUCAACGUUCAGAGCACUGAAGAGGCUUGCAAAAUACUAAAAAUAGGAAACAAGAACCGAAGCUUGGCUUGCACUAGAAUGAACCAGCACUCAAGUAGAAGUCACGGCAUAUUUUCUGUCAGACUACUAAGACUAAGUGAUGAGGCUGAGCCUCGUAUUCUUGGAGUUUCAGAAAUGUCUCUCUGUGACUUGGCUGGGUCUGAACGGUGCAAUAAGACACAAACUUUUGGAGACAGACUAAAAGAAGCUGGGAAUAUUAAUAAUUCUCUUUUUAUUCUUGGGAAAUGCAUUGCCGCACUGAAGCAGAAGCAGAAUCCUAAUGUGAAACACAGCUAUAUUCCAUUCAGAGAGAGUAAACUCACCCGCCUGUUUCAACCAUUCUUCUGUGGUAAAGGCAAAGCUUGUAUGAUUGUCAACGUUAAUCAGUGUGCCUCCACUCACAGUGAGACAUUACAUGUAAUGAAAUUUUCUGCUACAGCCAAACAGGUUAUUCAGACAAUCCACCCCCAAACCUUUGGAUAUUUUGCUCCAAAACUGGUUGGGAAGGAUGGCAAGCCUAUAGUACAUUUUGAUGCCAACAUAUCUGCUGAAGAGGUUCCUGAUGAAGAUAUCGAUACCUCCUCUGAAGAGGAAGUGGACAUUACCAUCAUGACCCAUGAGGAGCUCUUGAAAACUACUGAGAACCUGAAGAAGACGCUAGUUGCAGAAAGGCAGAGUAAACUUCUUCUUGAGGUGCAGAUACGUAAAGAGAUGGCAGAAGCCAUGUUUCAACAACUGUUGGAAACCGAGGAAACCUGGAGUAAACGCUUGGAAGAUAUGAGAGAAAGUUAUGAGGAAAAAUUGGAGAAUAAAUUUGAAAUGUAUAAGGAAGCUAUAAAGAAGCAUGCAUAUAUGUGUGCAAUGGAACAAAUUGAAGACCACUAUGUUCCAAUAGAAGAGUUCAUAGUUGAACAAGAGAAAGUUGAGGACAGAGAUAGGAAAAUAUUAGAGUUGCAACAAAAAUUUGGAGAGUGGUCAGAUGGAUUGUUGGCUUCGGAAAUCCCAAAUUCAGAUGUGUUGACUGCAGAAGACAAAGUGAAAUCAGAUCUUAAAUAUAAGGAGAUGCAGAGAACUUCAGAAGUAUUGCAGAGACAGUGCGAUGAGAAAGAUGAGCUUAUAAAAUCUCUGAAGCUUAAAAUGCACAAAUUAAAUGAAACCUUACAAGAAGUGAAUGAAGUCUGCAGAAAAACAACCGAGGAAAACAAUAGACUGACGCACAUGGUAAUGCUCAAGGAACAAGAAAUGAGAAGUCUUCAGAACUGGGCUAAACGUGUCCUUGAGCUUGAAGCAACAGUGUCUCUUCUGCAAGAAGAACUAGAUGAGAGAAAAAAGCACUUGUAUUCAGAAGACCUUAAGGAGCAAAAACCCAAGAGAGGCUUGUUUGCUAAUCUAAAAUCUACAGUAGCAGGCACUUCUAAAACACCUGUUGGCAAAACCUUGGGGAAAUCUGAAGACUCUCCAACCAUGUCAAGAAAACAAGCUACUUUUGCACGUAAAGUAAAAGAGUAACUCUAAUCCUUGAUGCAUUAAUAUGUCUGUAUUGACAAGGCCCUUCAGCUGUUUUUUUGACCUGAUGAAGCAACAGUUGGAAUUUGGGUGAAGAAAAAAGGGUAGUAUAGACACAGCCUUACCAUCAAUGUAACUGGGAAGAUAAGCUAUUAAUAGGAAUGACGACAACUUUCCUUCUGUCAAAUGUCUUCUUUAGUUACUAAAAAAGACACGUAAAUGUAAACAUAAAUUGGAAUUCUUGUGUACCUGUCGGUGUGAGAUGUGAUCAUCUGCUGUGGAAACACAGCAGGUAUGGAUUUCCACUUUGCAGGAGAAUAGGUGCCUUGUGUCAAGCAUCUGAACACUGACAGGAAUGCAGGAUCAGACCCUUGUACACAGAAAACUGUCAGCCUGGCCUAUGAAGUUGGCUACUUACUGUAAUUUGCAGGAUGAACUACAGUGGUACAAGUUUUAAAUUUGAAGAGUUUAUUAAAAUCACCAUACAGUAAAAAUAUUUACACAGUCUGUGGUGGUUAAUCUGCACAUUGACUGACUUCAUUCAGAACCUGCUAUGCUUUACUAAAAAAGAAAAGCAAUGAAUGUUUAUACUGAUCACUGUUUGGACUGCAGGUAUACUAAAGCCUCAGCAGUAGUUAGCCUCUUUUUAAAGCUUCCGUAAGUACCCUUUACCAUAACAUGUUUUGGUUGUAAGAACAGCCCAGUCCCACUUUAUAUAAAGGAGGACAGAAACAGGCAGUCACCUGGUAAUUGCACUAGUUAUGCUUUUUGAUAACUAAAACAUACUCAACUUGAUGAUUCACUUCAUGACUGAGAAUUAGUUCAAAUACAGUUUUGUUAAUAUGCCUGGAUCCUAACAGACUAUGCAUUAAGAACCAACAAUUAAAAACAUGACUGAUUUACUUGUUACAUAGUUGGUGUUAUGAAUUAGUAAUAAUUACAUACUGAAAAGCAAAACCCAGGGUGCUAACUCACUUCAAUGUAAUUUCACUGAUUACAGUAUGCUUAUAAGGUAUGGUGCAUUUUAAAACAUUCAUUUUGGCUAAUCUUUAAAAUGGCUUUCAGUUCAAUUAAUUGAAACAGCAAAAAUGUGAGGAAUAUAUUAAGAUACUUAUAGAAAGCAUUUUCAUGGGUAAUAGAUGGAUCACAGUGUUUCAAACUACUAAGGGCCAGAUCCUUCAAAAUAUAGGGGAGAUUUGCCGCUGACUUAACCUGGGGAAAAAUAGAUUUUGAGCAGGUGGUUCCAGGCUUAAAUUCAUGUGCUCUAUAUACAGAGCAAGACAAUAUGCUGUCUUUUUUUUCUGACACAUCUAGCACAAUAAUUACUGUUUAUAAUGCAAUAAUAUUGCAGGUCUUAUUCUUACCUUGGUGCCUGUAAAAGACACUUUUCAAAUCUUAACAGUGUAAAUGCUUGAGCUGUGCAUAAAUGCCAAAGAGAAUUAAAUUAAGUGUAAAAAUUACCUUUCAGAAAGGGUUAAAGAGGAUGAUUACAUCCUAAAUAUUUGAAUCUUGCAACAAGAUACUGUUCUCCAGAUAUUGAUGUAAGAUAACCAGAGGCUAUAAAAAAAAUAA